Molecule: long non-coding RNA, 4225 nt
Organism: Ailuropoda melanoleuca (giant panda)
Lineage: Eukaryota; Metazoa; Chordata; Mammalia; Carnivora; Ursidae
Exons: 2
Source: RefSeq, a predicted model, not a curated record
UUUGAGGGAAACACGGUCACACGAAUCUAUGGGGCAUAAAAGAAAACACCAUUGUAAGGGGGUUGAGAAUACCAGGACUUCAGCGUUCUAAUUCUGCUUCCAGAUGCAUUUUGAACAAUGCAGCCUAUGGAUGAAUGAGAUGCCCUUUUGAUGUGAGAUCUUUUCCCAGAACAUGGAAAAUGCUCGACUGUGUUUUGACAGAGUUAUUCUUUUGCUAAGUCAUCUUUUUAAAACUUUUGUUUUGAAGCAAAUUAGAGAAAAUUAUAUAAUAAAGCAUCAUUUUUUUUUUCAUCACCAAGUUUCACCAGUCAUCAAUACACAUCCAAUCUUGUUUCAUCCGUAUAACCUGGUAUCUUGUUGAGAACUAUCACUUCCCUUUUUGUUUUCAGUAGUGGAAAUAAAAGGGCCAUUUUAUGUUCAGUUAGCCUGUAUUCCUCACUUGGAUAUUAAAGAUGUUGUGAAAUAUAAAAAUCGGGACACAGCUGCAUCACUGAUACCAUUUUAACUUUUCCUGAGGAUGUCCAACUAAGGACCCUCAUGCACAGAAUUUCCUGAGAUGGUCUGGUGCGUGUUCUUCGACGAUGUAUUUAACAAAGGAGACCCUUUCAGAGGUGGCUUAGAGCUGUAAGCAGCAGCUGACAAGAAGCCUAAGCUCUAGACAUUUAACAGCUGGCAGAUACCAAUUAAACAGAAGUCGUGUUUACUUGGAAACCUGAAAAGCUUCUUCUGGCAAUUUCCAACAACUUGGUUACGUUUAGGAUUCCAGUGGAUUUCCGUGGUGCCAGGAGACUAUUUUUCAAAGCUCCUAGAAGACCUGGUGUUUGCUACAAAUAUGAUUUCAUAAACAGAUUAGACAGCUUCCAGGUUGAAGUUUCUGGUAUCUCUGAUGCAAGAGAAUAUAAAGUGAAGGGCAAACAAAAAGUGCGAGUAUUCAAGCUCUGAGAAGUGUUUUCAGUCAAGUACUCGAUUAAUAUUGAACUCCGGAUGCUGCCUAAAAAUGCUUCCAUGUCUAUAUACGUUGUGCUUCAAUUAAAAAAAAAAAUCUCUUCACUAAAAUAUUUCCCUUUCUACAUAUACUAGAAAACAGCUUCUCAAACUCAUCUGACUUACAGAAUAUACUUUAAAGCAAGAGAACUGCUUUUCUUGGAACACUGAAGAGCAGAGAAAUCAGUUUUCAGUCUGCUAUACCGACUCUAACACCUUUAUCAGCUAUGUUUCCUGUUAUGCUCUCGCCAGGAUAAGAGUAAGAGCAAGGAGAAGUUUUAAUGUGACGACCAAAAGAUAAGACUGAAUUACCCCAUCUCCUCUGCGUCUAUCUCCAAAGAAAAAUUAUCUUCAGGCUGUAAAUGACAGAUGAACCAAGAUAAAGAUAAAACUGAAACCCAGGGAAUAAAAAAGGAAAGCAUCUUAACAUUUGAAUAAAGCUUAAAUUUUUAGGCCCAGAAAAAGUACACUUUAAAAUAUUAAAGAAACCUGUAGAUAGGACAUGGGAGCUGUUGUCACUCAGAAAUCAGAGUCAAGAGAAGAGGCACCAGAAAAACUAGAUGUAAGAAAACGUCUCUGUUUUCAAAAUAAAUGCACUCUAGAUACAAGCCAUUAAUCCCUUCAUGUAUCUACCAAUUAUUAAACCAGGGAGGAUCACAGCAGAGAUUCCAAUUCCUAUUAGCAUGUGUGACUUCUCCAAGCCCUAACAUGAAAUGCCCCAGAGAACCUCACUUUCAUUUGUAGACCCAGCGCUAGAUUGGGUACCAGCACCCCAGUUCCAUCAUCUUCCAGCAACAAGAACACCUGAUGAGGGCUUGUGAGCCCAACAUCUGGUCUCCCCCGCCAUAGCCCGCCAGUCGGUCCUGUGACCCUGAGGGAGAGACAACCUUCCUUGGAUUGUUUUCACAUCUGAAUUUGAGAUCUGGGGACCUAAUGGGGAGCGAGUGCUACAGAGUUAAGAACAGGGGCUCUGAACCCAGACCGUUUUACAGGUCUCAAUUCAGGACCCCAACUGGCAUCCCCUGCUGUGCCUGCUUCCUUUUUUGGAAAAGAGUACAUCUACCUUGUCAUUCUGAGGUUUACGUGACUGACUACGCACAGAUAAAAUGUCUAGUAGGCUGCAGACAUUUUACUAAUGCAUCAGCGUCUGCCCCUUCCCUCUAAAUUGUGUGUUCUUUUCCCAGCUCUAAAAACUCAGUGAUUCUCCAGGUUCCUGGUUGCAAGUUACAGAAAGUGAUAGCAGCUGCCUCCAGUCAGAGGGGCAGAGACCUUCAGGGAGGUUGUGCUCAGUUGACAGUCCCUUGUGCUGCCUUAUUGGUAGGAGGCAGAAAGGUGGGCUGGAGUAGCAUGCAGAGAUCAUCUAAGGCCAGGGUGACUGUAUGUCCUGGUGAGUCUGGGACAGUCCUGAUUUUUAACCCCUGUCCCAGCAUCCUGCCCAGUUUAGCACUUGCCCCAGACAAAUGUCUUCUAGGUUGGAUGAUAGAUUUUAACAGCCAGGGAUCACCGUAUUCAGAAACCAGUGCUCGGGGGGCUCGCUGCACUUUCAGCUGGCUCAAAGGACCGACGCCAAAACACUUCCGUAGGCACAGCAGUAGAUCAGCUGGAGAAAGGUAAGUCACAAUCUUUUUCUCCAUUCAGUCUCUUUUGCAAAACAUUCUGGCCCAUGACAUGCAGCAUUAUAUCUCGAGACAUGCAGGCAAUUAUAUCGCGAGAGCACCGACUCACAAGGAACCCUUCCCAGCGUGCCCCCACAGCCACUGCUCCCAGUUCUGUCCAGUACUUUUCUCAGUUGCCUGGAGGAGGACACAGAAGCUGUGCUUCUCAGCUUUGAAAAAGAUGAAGCUUGCAGGAGUAGAAAGCUAAGAGAGGGCAAAUGAUCAAGACUCUGAACUACUAUGUGAACUGAAAGGAUGGACCACAAGCAAACCACCUAAAAUGUGAGGAUACAUUUAAAGGCACGCAUUUAGAUUUUUAAAGUUGCUCAAGGAUGGGCUAUAGGAGCUAUAGCUUGACAACACUCCUACUGAAAACACUUGAGGUUUCAGCAGAACAGAAACACAAAAACAGUAGCUGCUAAGUACAAACACAAUCUUCCAUGUGCACUGAAAAACCAAGUCUUAGGCUGACGGACAGCAGUGGGGGGCCGCGGCGUGAGCUGAACUAGGCAGACCACGCGUCUGCGCUCUGUCCAUCCCGGAGUCACGCUGCCUGACUGGGGCCAGCCCAGGAAGGAGAGGGCCUGGCCCGACGGCUAACUGAAGAGCUGGAGGCUGUGCUCUGAACAGAGUGAGAGACCUGUCCAAGGGCCAUGCCAUUUCCCCUCAGAUAUUCCAAAGGCUGCUACGUGGCUAAGAGAGUGAGCUUCUUUCGGGCUUGUUCCAAAGGGCAUAACCAGCAACUUGGUUUUAUAAGACUCAACUCUGGAUUCAUAUAUACAGAGAGCUUUUCUGACAACUACAGCUGGCCACACACGCGUGAGCCACUCCAUAAAGUGGUGGUUACCAUCACUGGGGACACUCCAGCAGUGGCCACAGCACCGGGGACAGUUUCUGACCUGGGGUUUCUACAGAGGUGGGAGGUGCCCCUGUUCUAUCACUGGGUCAACCCUGUACACUGCAGAACUAGGGGACCCGAGAUAUACUUCUUUUUCCAGUGAUUCUAUUAAAAUACAGCUUGGAGGGGCAGCACCUUAGGGUAUCAUCGGACUUCUUAAUGGGGGUAACGGCGUUGUGAGGGGAAGGACGGCCAAGGUAGCGCGUCCUCAGGCUGUGGGGUGGACUCCGUGAAGGCAGAGUGACCGCUCACCUGAGUGCCUGCAUUUGGCAGCUUGAUAUUCUCGGCGGCGGCAGCUACGUCGAUGGAAGCCCGCAUGAGAAUGUCCAAGUAGUUCAUUUUGGAAUAUUCCUGUUUGGAGACAAAGUUAGCAGAUGCGUUAAGGACGUGAGAAAUGUCCUAAGAGAUAGCAAAUGACUUCCAGGGACAGCCUCGCGGCAGGGCCAAACCUCUAGAAACGUGCUGUUCCAUAACCUCGAGCGCAGAAUGACAGAGGCCUUGCUGUCCAGGCCUCGCAGCGGACAGCUUAUGUUCACGCAGUUCACGUUCGUGCUGCAGUUCUGCGGAGACAAGCGUGGUGGUUAAAAUCCAACAGUGUGGGGAAGACCCUCCUGCUAUUCACAGCUGUUGAAAAAUACUUACAAGGGUCUGAUAUUUUCUUUCAGCAAAUAAAGAAAAUUUUCUGCUA